AGCAAUACACCGCUGGCGACCGGCGCACGGGUGAGUAACACGUAUCCAACCUGCCCUUUACUCGGGGAUAGCCUUUCGAAAGAAAGAUUAAUACCCGAUGGUAUAACAUGACCUCCUGGUUUUGUUAUUAAAGAAUUUCGGUAGAGGAUGGGGAUGCGUUCCAUUAGGCAGUUGGCGGGGUAACGGCCCACCAAACCUUCGAUGGAUAGGGGUUCUGAGAGGAAGGUCCCCCACAUUGGAACUGAGACACGGUCCAAACUCCUACGGGAGGCAGCAGUGAGGAAUAUUGGUCAAUGGGCGAGAGCCUGAACCAGCCAAGUAGCGUGAAGGAUGACUGCCCUAUGGGUUGUAAACUUCUUUUAUAUGGGAAUAAAGUUGUCCACGUGUGGAUUUUUGUAUGUACCAUAUGAAUAAGGAUCGGCUAACUCCGUGCCAGCAGCCGCGGUAAUACGGAGGAUCCGAGCGUUAUCCGGAUUUAUUGGGUUUAAAGGGAGCCGUAGGCGGAUUGUAAGCUCAGUUGUGAAAGUUUGCGGCUCAACCGUAAAAUUGCAGUUGAUACUGGCAGUCUUUGAGUGCAGUAGAGGUGGGCGGAAUUCGUGGUGUAGCGGUGA
RNAcentral lists this ribosomal RNA (611 nucleotides) under uncultured Bacteroidales bacterium. RNAcentral's name for it is "bacterial SSU rRNA". It matches the Rfam family "Bacterial small subunit ribosomal RNA", at positions 78 to 684 of the family's 1533-position model. Lineage: Bacteria; Pseudomonadati; Bacteroidota; Bacteroidia; Bacteroidales. The record is from RNAcentral.